AGUGAACGCUGGCGGUAGGCCUAACACAUGCAAGUCGAACGGCAGCACAGUAAGAGCUUGCUCUUACGGGUGGCGAGUGGCGGACGGGUGAGGAAUACAUCGGAAUCUACUUUUUCGUGGGGGAUAACGUAGGGAAACUUACGCUCAUACCGCAUACGACCUACGGGUGAAAGCAGGGGAUCUUCGGACCUUGCGCGAUUGAAUGAGCCGAUGUCGGAUUAGCUAGUUGGCGGGGUAAAGGCCCACCAAGGCGACGAUCCGUAGCUGGUCUGAGAGGAUGAUCAGCCACACUGGAACUGAGACACGGUCCAGACUCCUACGGGAGGCAGCAGUGGGGAAUAGUGGACAAUGGGCGCAAGCCUGAUCCAGCCAUACCGCGUGGGUGAAGAAGGCCUUCGGGUUGUAAAGCCCUUUUGUUGGGAAAGAAAAGCAGCAGGUUAAUACCCCGCUGUUCUGACGGUACCCAAAGAAUAAGCACCGGCUAACUUCGUG
This 492-nucleotide ribosomal RNA is filed under the name uncultured bacterium. Its description in RNAcentral is "partial 16S ribosomal RNA". It matches the Rfam family "Bacterial small subunit ribosomal RNA", at positions 29 to 507 of the family's 1533-position model. The record is from RNAcentral.